RNAcentral lists this ribosomal RNA (253 nucleotides) under uncultured bacterium. Its description in RNAcentral is "partial 16S ribosomal RNA". It matches the Rfam family "Bacterial small subunit ribosomal RNA", at positions 524 to 776 of the family's 1533-position model. The record is from RNAcentral.
UACGUAGGGUGCGAGCGUUGUCCGGAAUUAUUGGGCGUAAAGAGCUUGUAGGCGGUUUGUCGCGUCUGCUGUGAAAAUCCGGGGCUCAACCCCGGACUUGCAGUGGGUACGGGCAGACUAGAGUGUGGUAGGGGGGACUGGAAUUCCUGGUGUAGCGGUGAAAUGCGCAGAUAUCAGGAGGAACACCGGUGGCGAAGGCGGGACUCUGGGCCGAUACUGACGCUGAGGAGCGAAAGCGUGGGGAGCAAACAGG